UGAAAGACUACACCUACUCAAGGUAUGAAACCAUAUAAAAUUUGAGAACUUAGAAAUUACCUGCUUGUUAUUCACCAAUAAUCAUAUUCUUGAAGUGGUGAGAGUUUGAUUUAUUGGGCGCAACAUUAUCAUAAAUGAAGAAUUUGCUUAUUAAACAUCCUAUCAUUUCUUUAAUUGAACCACCCUUUAAUAUAUCUUUGAUAUUUUUGUCUUGCUCUAGAAGACUUAUAGAGGAAGGGUGCAAUAAGAGGUGAUGGGUCUGAAUGUUGCAUACUUUGAGAUUUCUGCGUCGUCGAUGCACCACUAGAAUGUGAUGACUCCCUUGUUUUACGCUUGCUUCCCAUAACAAUUUCAUAUUGUUACCGCUCCCAUUCUGUUGCAUUCGAUGCAUGAACCGCCUUUCGAUAAGCAUCUCGCUCAUCUGGGUGCAUAUCUACUAGAUACAUAUACACUUUUUCAUCUUCAUCUUCAUCGUCAUCUUUGUCCAUGACAUGUCUAUGCUUAGCUCCCGUAGUGCCAUGUAAUUGAGCACAAAUCUCUUCAAUAUGUGCAGUUUUCUUUACUUUUGCUUUACUUUUUUCAUGUAACAUCUCUCGUAUAUCUUCUUUCACUUUAAGUGGCAUUGUAGGACACUUCUUGGUGUUUUUUUAUGGGUCUUUAUACUCUAAAUGAUACUUGAACCGAGUGAUGCCUCCACUCUUCAUCAACAGUCCACAAAAAUUAUAAAUUGUCCCAUUUCGGUUUCUUCUACUGGAGAACAA
This 761-nucleotide long non-coding RNA is filed under the name Vitis vinifera (wine grape). RNAcentral describes it as "long non-coding RNA (VVIN_LNC001050)". Lineage: Eukaryota; Viridiplantae; Streptophyta; Magnoliopsida; Vitales; Vitaceae. The record is from RNAcentral.